CCCUUAGACGUUCUGGGCCGCACGCGCGCUACACUGACCAGUGCAACAAGCAUCCGUCCUUGGCCGACAGGCUCGGGCAAUCUUUGAACGCUGGUCGUGAUGGGGAUAGACUUUUGCAAUUUUUGGUCUUCAACGAGGAAUUCCUAGUAAACGCAAGUCAUCAACUUGCAUUGAUUACGUCCCUGCCCUUUGUACACACCGCCCGUCGCACCUACCGAUUGAACGUUUUAGUGAGGUACUCGGACUGAGCCUCAGAAGAUUCACGUCUUUUGUGCUGCUCGGGAAGAUUCCCAAACUUGAGCGUUUAGAGGAAGUAAAAGUCGUAACA
Molecule: ribosomal RNA, 328 nt
Filed under: uncultured eukaryote
Lineage: Eukaryota
Description: partial 18S ribosomal RNA
Rfam family: Eukaryotic small subunit ribosomal RNA
Source: RNAcentral